This 331-nucleotide ribosomal RNA is filed under the name uncultured eukaryote. Its description in RNAcentral is "partial 18S ribosomal RNA". It matches the Rfam family "Eukaryotic small subunit ribosomal RNA", at positions 1470 to 1796 of the family's 1831-position model. The record is from RNAcentral.
CCCUUAGAUGUCCUGGGCCGCACGCGCGCUACACUGAGUGUCUGAGAUACGAGUCUGCCUGGUCCGGCAAGGUCUAGGUAAUCGCUAAAAGACACAUCAUGCUUGGGAUAGAUUAUUGCAAAUAUUAAUCUUGAACGAGGAAUUCCUAGUAAGCGCAAGUCAACAGCUUGCGUUGAUUACGUCCCUGCCCUUUGUACACACCGCCCGUCGCUCCUACCGAUUGAAUGAUCCGAUGAAUACCAUGGAUUGAGAGUACGAAUAGGUUCGCUUAUUUCUGCUGCUCGAGAAGUGGAGUAAAUCUUAUCAUUUAGAGGAAGGAGAAGUCGUAACA